RNAcentral lists this ribosomal RNA (250 nucleotides) under uncultured bacterium. RNAcentral describes it as "partial 16S ribosomal RNA". It matches the Rfam family "Bacterial small subunit ribosomal RNA", at positions 524 to 776 of the family's 1533-position model. The record is from RNAcentral.
GACGAGUGGUGCGAGUGUUAUUCCUCGUGACUGGGCGUAUAGGGUGCGUAGGCGGUCUAAAAAGUUUCCAAUGAAAGACACAUACGUGGAGUACAUUGGUAAAACUAGUUGACUAGAGUAUGGUAGGAGAUAGCGGAAACUAUUGCAUUAGAAUUAAAAUGCGUGAGAAAACAAUAGGUAACACCAGAGGCGAAAGCGGCUAUCUAGACUAAACUGACGCUGAGGCACGAAGGCAUGGGGAUCGAAUGGG